GCGCGAUGCUAGCCAGUGCGUUUCAGAAUGAUUAGUGGAGUCCAUCGGAGAGACAGAUUAAAGUGUCGCUAUAAUCCGGUGACCGAGGAGAUUUUGAGAGGAAAAAAACACCGUCUUUAACCACAGCAGCCAUAUUGUGUGGAAGUAAACGCACCUCACCUCGCGAAGGCUUUUACUUUUUCCAGAAGAAAAGUGUCCAACAUCUUCGUCCGGACUUUCCUUCACUCGGCGGCGGCGGCGGCGGCGGGUUUGUGUCGGUCAGAGCCUGCCAGCUGGCGCAGGGUUGCGGACUCUCGGCUUCACUCUUGACGCUCUCUGUCCACACAAUUGGUUAAUUUAUUCACUUUCAACCACUCUCAACCACUGUUGAGCACAAUGAAGGACCGAUUGGAGCAGCUAAGAGCGACGUGUGACCAUGAUGACGACGAAGUGGAGAUCGCGAUGGACAACGCAGCCUUCAUGGAUGACUUCUUCUGUCAGAUCGAAGACAUCAGAAACAGCAUCGAUAAAAUUGACGCCAACGUGGCUGAAGUCAAGAAGCUUUACUCCGUCAUACUGUCGGCGCCCACGUCUGAUCAGAAAACACAAGACGAACUGGAGGCGAUCACCAAUGACAUUAAGAAGAUGGCCAACAACGCCAGAAACAAACUUAAGACCAUCGAGAGGAAUUUGGAGUCUGAAGAGCAGGAGAGAGUGUCUGCAGAUAUGCGGAUACGUAAAUCUCAGCAUGCAGUGCUGUCAAGGAAGUUUGUGGAGGUGAUGACAAAAUAUAAUGAAGCCCAGGUGGACUUCAGGGAGAGGAGUAAAGGCCGUAUCCAGAGACAACUAGAGAUCACUGGGAAAGCGACGACAGAUGAGGAGCUGGAAGAAAUGUUGGAGAGCGGCAACGCUGCCGUCUUCACCGCUGGGAUCGUGGACUCUGGGAUCUCCAAACAAGCGCUGAGUGAGAUUGAAUCCAGACAUAAGGACAUCGUCCGCCUUGAAAGCAGCAUCAAGGAGCUGCAUGACAUGUUUGUAGAUAUCGCCAUGCUGGUGGAGAGCCAGGGUGACAUUGUAGACAACAUAGAGCAGAAUGUCUCCAAGUCCGUGGACCACAUUGUGGUGGCUAAAGAACAGACUAAAAAAGCAGUCAGGUACCAGUCCAAAGCUCGCAAGGGCGGGAUGAUUGACAGGAUUGAAAGCAACAUGGACCAAUCAGUGGGCUUCGUGGAGCGGGCCGUAGCAGACACUAAAAAAGCUGCCAAAUUUCAGCAAGAGGCUCGUCGUGUGAGUCACCUGAGACAAAAUCUCCUCGGAUUUCCCAAAAGCAUACGGAGGUUGCUGAUAUUUGCAACGGUGAAAAUAUCUUCUUAACAAACGUGGACCUCUGAGUCAUGAGUUUCUUGGCUGAGGUUGAAACCAUGUACUGUAGUCCUCAGUUCUGGACUGUGGUAGCUCAAAUAUAGCCCUGAUUUGAUUAUAGUCAGUUUUCUGUACCUGAGUGCAGCAACUUCAACUUGGCAACAUGAAGUUGUCCAGACUCAGAAGGAAUGUUACAGAGGGCACAAAAUGAUAAGCUACAAACAUCACGGUUCAGAGCAGUUCACUGAAGAGACGCUGCGGUGAAAGAGUUGAUCCACAAGCAUUGACAUGGCCUCAUUCUGCGACAUUAUGGGCUGUUAUUGAGUCAUAAUGCUAAAAAAGAGCUUUUGCUGACCAGUCUAGUAAACUUACUACUUACUUAUGCUUUUGGGAAACCCGAAUGGUUGUGAGAAGAUCAUUCUGCCAUGUGAUGUUUAUCCUUCGAUCCUACUCUGAUCCUCAGUCACUGGUCUUGUUGUAGUGCGACCCCCUGACCCAUCCACACACAUGCACACACAUGCACACGCACACACAUUCACCUGCAGUUACAUAGAAACAAACUGGACUCAAGAAACAAACUCAACAAAUUUCUAAAAACAGGUCGGCAUGUUCUGCCCACUGCUCAAACGCCGCAAAAGUGUUUAUGUUCUUAUUCUUUUGAGGUUUUAAAAGAACCUAAAACCUCUUGUGUAUGUGUUUAAUAGUUUCAUGCUUUUACUCACUUGAUCAUGUUUUGCUUGAAGCUGAGCUAGAAGCAUCAGAUCAGAUCUACUGUCAACAAAUUCUAGUACUUGUUGAGACUCUUGUGAGAUGUGUACUGAUAAUGAUGGCACAUUUUUUCAUAUUCGUUGUUUGUCAGUGCUGCAGCCAAAAUGCAGUAAGGCUUGGCUCCAGCUUGAUGCAACUGUGGGCUUCAGUAAAUUGUCCUGAGGUGUGAGUGUGUGCGAGUGGUUUCACAGUACUACUGUAUGAAAUUACCGGGUCGACAUGCCAGUAAGCUGCUAAUAAGCGUGUGCAUUUUGUAAAGUUAUUUUGUUCAUAAUACUGCGACUUUCCUUGACAAAUAGUCUGGACGACGUAUAUGAAGGUGCUCUUCAAUGUAGUAGCUGGAAUUGUCUCCAUUACCAGCAACACUGUAAAGAAAAUAAGGAAAAUAAUAAGAAUUAAAAUCAUGGUUAGAUUUUAUACUAUAAUUUCUAUGCUCUGCCUUGAGAGAAUUCACUUUUUGAUUUAAGGCAUGCUGUACAUAGAUUUAGCAGGAGAUAUGAGUGUAUCUGAUUACUCUUUGGGGUGUAUAUGAGCUUGAUGGAGCCAUGCUGAUGAUACCUUCUGUACUCCCAACAGAAAGUGCUGAUUUUAGUGGGUAUUGUUCUGGUCCUGCUGGCAAUACUUGCUCUCAUAAUUGGUUUGUCGGUGGGAUUAAGUCAGCGCUGAUGAUCUUUUUAAGAGAAGGGUGGAAGGGUAAGUACGUACGUCUCUGUAGUGACACACUGGGUGUGGGUUUUGGUUCAAAGACGGUGUGUAUAUGGGUAUUUACCUUCCUCUUGGUGAGUUACUUAAGGUGUGUUUGUUUGCAUUUCAAGUAGCCUAGUGUGUUUUCUCCUCCAACAUCUGUUUCCUCUGGUGACUGCUGAGCUCACAGUGGUGGUGGUGAGUUAAGCUGCUGUGAGUGUGUAGUCACUGUUAACUCUUCCUCAUUUGUGUCUCCAUCUGUAGAAGAUGAUCAUUUUCGCUGCCGUCUGUGCCGUUCUUGUUGUCAUCAUCGUCAUCGCCAUCGCCCUGUCUUUGACUCUAUAGCCGGAUUCACUUCCCCGCAUCCACCCAGACACCCUGAGGCUGCUUUAAAUCGCAUCGUGAGGAUUAAAUUGCAUAACAAUGAAACCACUUAGUGGGACCCACAGGAAGAAAAGGACAACAUGAACAUUCAAUCUUUGUUCUCUUCUAUUUACCUGAUUCACCCGUUUUGAUGAAGAGUUGUGCAAUUCGCUCGCCGAUUUGGGAUAAUCUGCUUAAACAUCUAAAAGCAGUGCAACAGGAUGAGCCGACGUCCUACAGACCUCAACGCUGCUCCUUAGAUUUCAGUUAUGAGCCAAAGAAAAGUGGUCAAUUCCAGGCACACCACUCCCCUGCUCAUGUUUGAGCCCUGACAUACGUUGUGUUCACUGGUCUGGGACUUUCAAGCACUUUCACAUUCUUAUGAUGCCUAAUGUCAGAAAAUGUAAAUAGCACAAUUUGUUUUGUUAUUUUUGUUUGUUCAUAUGUGCCUUUAGUGAGUGUUGAGAAUCUUAUCUGUUCUGAUUUUAAAUGAGAUCACGUUGCAUUUGACAGGUGGAGCGACGGUAAGAGAUGAAGUAAAGUGAGACAAUGAAUUGUAUAACGUGCCUUCGUGUGUCGACUGUGGGUCUCGCUUCUUUUCCAAUGUGGUCGUUUGAAUUUCAGUAUGCUGCCAACACUUAAGUGACAAAUGAAACGGUAGAAUUUUUAAGACUGUAUUUAUUGAACUGUAAGAAGUUGAAAAUAAACAUUCUUUCACAUAAAAGAUGGUUUAAUUUUAACCUGAAUUAUACGUAGUGUGAUUAUUACCGGCACUGAGCUCAUGAGGGUUUGAGAAAAAUGGACACGUUUUGCACAAAAAUUCAUAAACUUCAUGUUGCACUCAGAAUACCUGUCAAAAACCAGGCCACGUGGUUCUAUUCAGUUGUCUGAGCGCUAGAUCCAUGUAUGGAAGAGGAAGUGAUCAGCCGCUGCACAUAGUCUUCUGUAUGUUUGCUCAAAAAGGUUGAUAAAGGCUUGGAUGCCUUUUUACUGCACAACACUGGGCUGAGGCAAGAUAUACACCCAACAAACCCCAUGAACCGAUAAAGAUUGAUCAUCAUCAUUGAUCAUUUUUUCUACACAAUAGUAACUAAAACAUAUCAACAAUUUAACACACAGUAUAAGACACAAUAUCGAAUUUUGAGCAGAUCUUUAGUUAUGUAAGAAGCAGAGGGUGCUGCUAUUGCCUCUGUCCUUUCCCUGUGAUAUUGUCUGACUUUUGUUUGCAAUAUACAAGAUAUGCCGACCAUAGCCAUCAGGUAAUCACAUCUGAUCCACCGCUUCAUAUUCUCAGGGGAUCUGGCUCUUCAGUAACAGUUAAAUAUGAUGGUGAAAACAGGGCCAAUGUGUGCAAAGUUGUCUAAAAGAAUUUACCGCAUGACGGAACAAACCUUUGUGAAGAAGCCUGUUUUUUAUUGUUGAGAGAUAUGUCUGAUUUUCUUGUUUAGGUGAGCUACAUGUUGUACAUGUUCUAACAAUCAUGUGUCAACUGCUGUUUUACACCAAAGAAGAGGUAAGUCUUCUGUCUUUUCGACACUCAUGCGCAGAAGCACAACAAACAAACACACAAAAACCCUCUCUUGCCCUUGUUUCCUUGUUCUCUGACCGUCAGUGUGAACUGUGUUACUGUCUUAAUGACAUGAUAACAAAGGCAAACGUUCAUUUGCAUUCUUGUGUGUGACGUUUAUAGAAGAAGAUGAUGAUCACGUUGUGCUGUGCCAUCAUCGGGAUCGUGGGCUUCUCUUAUCUUUACAGCUUCUUCUCUUAAGAGAAAGGCUGACCUCACGGACUGAAGCUCUCCUGUGCUGAUCAUGUCAUUUCCUCAUUUAAUCCUGAUAUUUCAAAGAAAACCAAAAACACCCUUUCUUUCUGCCUUUUCUUAUCAACAUUGCUGUAUGUCAUAAGUGUUGCAUUGCAUAAACAGUUAAACAACGCGACAGUUAUUUAAUUUAAAAAUUAUCCUGAGAAGUAUUUGAUAUUUAUAACGUUUGCUUUUCACUUUGAUUUGUCGUGAGUUGCAUUUGUGGUACCGUUUUAAGAGAAUGAUCAUCAAAAAUAGGCAUAUACCCCCCUGCUAUUCUUUCUAUAAAAAUGCUAUGUGUUAAUCUGUGUGUGCUUUAGUUGUCUCUUUAGUGUGCUGAUAUGUUGUGUUGAUGUUUUCGCUGUGUGAGGAAAGUCACCGGGCGUGUGUCAAUCUGCAAAAGCGUGUUACGUAAUAAAUCAUCUGUCAGUCGUUCUGCUCUCCGC
Synchiropus splendidus (mandarinfish) is the source of this 5403-nucleotide RNA transcript. It is a transcript of the gene named syntaxin 3b, with no coding region annotated. The record is from RefSeq and is a predicted model, not a curated record. Lineage: Eukaryota; Metazoa; Chordata; Actinopteri; Syngnathiformes; Callionymidae. The transcript is spliced from 11 exons.